This 1512-nucleotide ribosomal RNA is filed under the name Triticum aestivum (bread wheat). RNAcentral describes it as "partial small subunit ribosomal RNA". Lineage: Eukaryota; Viridiplantae; Streptophyta; Magnoliopsida; Poales; Poaceae. The record is from RNAcentral.
AUGGCCGCUCCGCCGCCGGUGCUCACCCUGGCGGUGGAGAAGGGCCCGCGCGAGGGAGAGACCCGGCGAUGCCGCGCGGGCGCCGCGCUCCGCGUCGGCCGCGUCGCCUCCGGCAACGACCUCUCCGUGCGCGACGUGGGCGCGUCGCAGCGCCACCUCACCAUCGAGUUCCUCCCGCCUCCCGCGUCCCGUUGGGCCGUGUCCGAUCUCGGCUCCUCCAAUGGCACCUUCAUCAAUGGCGCCCGCCUCCUGCCCUCCGUCCCCGCCCCCCUCUCCCACGGGGACCUAAUCAUCCUCGGUCAGUCCACCGUGCUCGCCGUGUCCAUCGCACCUGAUUCGGAUGUGAAACCCGGUCCUAGGCGCUCCUCGCGCCGCGCGGCGGCGGUGGCGGUGGCGGAGGAGAAGCCGACCCCAUCCGUCACCCGCCUGAGCACACGGAAGAUGGUGGGGACGAGGGCGGCGGCGGCGUUGGAACCCUCCGAAACUGAGAAGGGAGGGCCGGAUGCAGCGGCAGUAGUGGUGGAGGAAGAGAGCCACCGGGUAGUUACACGUGGUGGCGGACGGAAGAAGGUGGCUAGAGCGGAGUCCCUCGAAGCGGGUAAGGAAGAGAUGGAGGAGGCCGCAGUGGCGACACUCUGCGGUAGGAGGAAGAAGGUUGUGGAGCCCCCUGAACUGGAGAAGGCAGAUGAACAGAAAGAGGAGAAGGCUGCGGUGGCAACACGCGGCAGGAAGAGGAAGAAGGCUGUGGAGUCCCCUGAACUGGAGAAGGCAGAUGAACAGAAAGAGGAGAAUGCCGCGGUGGCAACACGCUGCAGGAAGAGGAAGAAUUCUGUGGAGUCCCCUGAACUGGAGACUGCAGAUGAACAGAAAGAGGAGAAGGCCGCGGUGGCAACACAUGGUGGGAAGAGGAAGAAGGCUGAGCCCUCUGAACCGGAGAAAGGAGAUGAGGGGAAGGAGGACGCCGGGGUGGUGACAUGCCGCGAUGGUAGGGAGGUUGCAACGACGGUUGCUCUUCCACCGCUGCCUCCAAAGACAAGGUCCAGAAGGGUCCAGGGAAGGGUCACAAGGGCUCGUGCAAGGAAGGCUGUUCUUGAGGAGGAGGAGGAGGCUGGGGAUGAAGAAGUGGAAGGGACUGCAAAUGCAUUGGAGGAAGUGCCUGUUGCUCAGAGAGGGCUGGUACGUAGAGCGCCAAAAGGGAUGACCAAUACUGAGUUCACUGCUUCUCACAACGGGGGUAGGGAGAUAAAUGAAGGUGGAGGAGAGGCGGAGAAUGGAAAGAUGGAAGUAGUUAACAGCGGAGGAGAGUUAGAGGAUGAUGAGAAGGGUGAGAAGCAUGCUGGGAGAAGCAGCCUGGACACUAUUACAUUGCAGGAGUGGUUCGAGGGGAUGGAAAGGUACCUUCCAAGGAUGAUCAAUGAAGCUGCUGAUGAGAUGAUAGUGACGCUGGAGGAGAAACAUCGGCGCAUCAAUGAGUACAUUUCAGUGCUCGGGAAUAGUUCCUAUCCUUCUUGA